This 253-nucleotide ribosomal RNA is filed under the name uncultured bacterium. RNAcentral describes it as "partial 16S ribosomal RNA". It matches the Rfam family "Bacterial small subunit ribosomal RNA", at positions 524 to 776 of the family's 1533-position model. The record is from RNAcentral.
UACGGGGGGGGCGAGCGUUGUUCGGAAUUACUGGGCGUAAAGGGUUUGUAGGUAGUCUGCUAAGUCAGACGUGAAAUCCCUCAGCUUAACUGGGGAACUGCGUCUGAUACUGGCGGACUUGAGGACAGGAGAGGAACGCGGAAUUCCAGGUGUAGCGGUGAAAUGCGUAGAUAUCUGGAGGAACACCGGUGGCGAAGGCGGCAUCCUGGACCAACACUGACACUGAGAAGCGAAAGCCAGGGGAGCAAACGGG